Tinamus guttatus (white-throated tinamou) is the source of this 413-nucleotide non-coding RNA. NCBI's taxonomy places the organism in Eukaryota, Metazoa, Chordata, Aves, Tinamiformes, Tinamidae. The record is from RefSeq and is a predicted model, not a curated record.
AGGAAAAAAUGCUCUUGGGAGGCAAGAAUGCCUAACGUUACAAAUGCUCCUAGCCUUGGGUAGUCGGUGCCAUUGAACCCUCAAAAAGGUGCAUUAGACUAUUUUCUAGAAAUAUUUCUUAUGAUGGCCAACUCCAUGUUAGAAAUGGGCAGAAGCUUUUCUGCUAGCAGUUGGGUUGAAUCCUUUGUAAAACUGUCUAAGCUUUCAAUGAUCUUCUGUGUUGCAGUGUAGUAACAGGAGGAGAAAAAAAUCAAGUGAGACUCUAGGAAGAGUGGAAUAAUAGUAGAAGUCUCUUUGACUGUAGUUUGGUAUGUAUUUAAUAAUCAUUUCCCACUUAGUGAAAGAGAUCAACUGACAGGUCUCCUACUAGCUAGAGUUAAACUAUCUGUUUGAUCUCCAGAAGGUGGACAUAC